This 253-nucleotide ribosomal RNA is filed under the name uncultured bacterium. RNAcentral's name for it is "partial 16S ribosomal RNA". It matches the Rfam family "Bacterial small subunit ribosomal RNA", at positions 524 to 776 of the family's 1533-position model. The record is from RNAcentral.
UACGAAGGGGGCUAGCGUUGCUCGGAAUUACUGGGCGUAAAGCGCACGUAGGCGGCUUCUUAAGUCGGUGGUGAAAUCCUGGAGCUCAACUCCAGAACUGCCUUCGAUACUGGGAAGCUCGAGUCCGGGAGGGGUGAGUGGAACUGCGAGUGUAGAGGUGAAAUUCGUAGAUAUUCGCAAGAACACCAGUGGCGAAGGCGGCUCACUGGCCCGGUACUGACGCUGAGGUGCGAAAGCCAGGGGAGCAAACAGG